Molecule: long non-coding RNA, 1605 nt
Organism: Equus caballus (horse)
Lineage: Eukaryota; Metazoa; Chordata; Mammalia; Perissodactyla; Equidae
Source: Ensembl
CUGAAGUCACAUGAGUGUUGCCAGCCGAAUUUGGGUACUUCCACUUUAAGUUCUCUGAUAAAGUAGCUUAAUGAUGGGGGUAUUUUAUUGACUCGUUUAAUAGAAUCAUAAAGACCAUAAAGCAACCUUGCAGGUUGCCACUUUCUCUCUUACUAACUGUGUGACGUUGGACAAGUCUUGUUACUUCUCCAUUUCCUUAUCUAUAAAGCAGGACAAUUCCUUUUGUAAAAAGAAAAAUGAUAGCAAAAUGUAUUGACUACAUACUGUGUACCAGACAUUGAGGUUGGUCCAGGGAAGUAAUCAAGGAUGGAACAAGCACAGACAGUCCUCUCAAGGAAUUUAAGACAACAAGGAGAAUCGAGCCAAGGAGAACAAUAGUAACACAAGACAGACAGGAGACGGGUCAGAGAAAUGCACGAACUGAAGUGUUGGAGCGUAGACCAUGACCACUUCCUCGUUGUCUGACUUUAUUCUGACUGGAAAGGCGUUCAGCAAAGGACUAGAUGGGUUUUGUCAUCAUCAGAGCUGCAGAACAUAUACACCUGAAUUUUGAUAUAUAUGAUAAAUAUAUGAACAGCAUGUUCUUGUCUCAGACCACAAAUUAAUGCAUCUCCAGUGCUGAGCAUGACAUCUUGGGUCAUUUAACUAACUCCUUUGUACAGGUUACCUUCCUCUAUCAACACCAUAAAAAGGAGAUUGAUGGCAGCAUUUACAGUCACUGCAAAGACAACCUAAUGAGUGGGUAUUUCUUCCUUUUCAAUGAGACAAGAGGCUCAAAAAAAAAAAAAAAAAAAAAAGGAAAGAAAAGAAAAAGAAAGUGGCUCUUUCUUCACCUCUGAGAUGGAUGUCUCAGAGAAUAAAUACAAAGAAAAGAUAGAUGACUGAAAUGAUUGUUCCCUGGAAGUAAUUGUAUAGUUUUUAGAGGAGUGAAGUAGGAUUCAAGGAGAAUCUUAUACAGCAAUUAGGGAGAAGUUGGAACUAAAAAAAUGUAUGGAAGAAAAGACAAGAAAAAAGAGAAAGGACUAAAGAUACCAAAAUACAAACACUGGCCAUGACUUCCAGAAGAGCUGCUUGCCUUUGGUGCCCGAGCAGCGCCUAGGAGACCCCGACACGCUUUUCUUUCCCUGAGAACUUGGGGACGAACGCCCUCUUGCAGCAAGCACGGUGCAGGUUAUGUUCGGAUCCUAAAAGUGUCAGCCUCUCAAGUGCAGCACCCGGGAAGCUGGUUUCCUCCUGGAGCUUCAGGCCUCCACACGCACUGUGGAUGCCAACAGAUGACUCCUGCUGGCACUCUUCUGAUGUCACUUGGCCCAAACCCGGAGCGUGAUGUCCCUGGGGCCAGCCGCACCCCCUCACGGCCUCCUCUGGUGAAGAAGGCCGGGCUGACCUCUGCUGGGCUCCCUGGGCCGGGUCGCUGCCUGGCCCUCUCUUGCUCUCUCUGGGAUGUCCGCCCUGCCUGACCCGCUCCAGCUGCUUCCCAUUCAUUUCCUGGCUUCACAGCUUGCAGAGGGCUUGGGACUUCUUCCCGAGCGAGGCGGUAAUCAGCAUUCUUCACAGCUGGCAGUUUUCCUGCCAAAUGGGAGUCUUCCUCUAGCAGCGUCCCCC